GCUACGGGUGGCUGCAGUGGGGAAUAUUGGACAAUGGGGGAAACCCUGAUCCAGCGACGCCGCGUGAGUGAAGAAGUAUUUCGGUACGUAAAGCUCUAUCAGCAGGAAAGAAAAUGACGGUACCUGACUAAGAAGCCCCGGCUAACUACGUGCCAGCAGCAGCGGUAAUACGUAGGGGGCAAGCGUUAUCCGGAUUUACCGGGUGUAAAGGGAGAGUAGACGGGUGGGCAAGUCUGGAGUGAAAUGGCGGGGCCCAACCCCGGAACUGCUUUGGAAACUGUGAAGCUGGAGUGCAGGAGAGGUAGGCGGAAUUCCUGGUGUAGCGGUGAAAUGCGUAGAUAUCAGGAAGAACACCGACUGCGAAGGCAGCUUACUGGACUGUAACUGACGUUGAGGCUCGAAGGCGUGGGGAGCAAACAGGAUUAGAUACCCUGGUAGUC
RNAcentral lists this ribosomal RNA (440 nucleotides) under uncultured bacterium. RNAcentral's name for it is "partial 16S ribosomal RNA". It matches the Rfam family "Bacterial small subunit ribosomal RNA", at positions 338 to 795 of the family's 1533-position model. The record is from RNAcentral.